GAUGAACGCUGGCGGCGUGCCUAAUACAUGCAAGUCGAGCGAACAGAUGAGGAGCUUGCUCCUCUGACGUUAGCGGCGGACGGGUGAGUAACACGUGGAUAACCUACCUAUAAGACUGGGAUAACUUCGGGAAACCGGAGCUAAUACCGGAUAAUAUAUUGAACCGCAUGGUUCAAUAGUGAAAGACGGUUUUGCUGUCACUUAUAGAUGGAUCCGCGCCGCAUUAGCUAGUUGGUAAGGUAACGGCUUACCAAGGCAACGAUGCGUAGCCGACCUGAGAGGGUGAUCCGCCACACUGGAACUGAGACAAGGUCCAGACUCCUACGGGAGGCAGCAGUAGGGAAUCUUCCCGAAUGGGCGAAAGCCUGACCGAGCAAAGCCGCGGGGGUGAAGAAGGUCUUCGGAUCGUAAAACUCUGUUAUUAGGGAAGAACAAAUGUGUAAGUAACUAUGCACGUCUUGACGGUACCUAAUCAGAAAGCCACGGCUAACUACGUG
Molecule: ribosomal RNA, 497 nt
Filed under: uncultured bacterium
Lineage: Bacteria
Description: partial 16S ribosomal RNA
Rfam family: Bacterial small subunit ribosomal RNA
Source: RNAcentral